AUUGAACGCUGGCGGAAUGCUUUACACAUGCAAGUCGAACGGUAGAGGGGGCAACCCCUCGAGAGUGGCGAACGGGUGAGUAAUAUAUCGGAACGUGCCCAGUCGUGGGGGAUAACGUAGCGAAAGUUACGCUAAUACCGCAUACGAUCUACGGAUGAAAGCGGGGGAUCGCAAGACCUCGCGCGAUUGGAGCGGCCGAUAUCAGAUAGGUAGUUGGUGGGGUAAAGGCUCACCAAGCCAACGAUCUGUAGCUGGUCUGAGAGGACGACCAGCCACACUGGCACUGAGACACGGUCCAGACUCCUACGGGAGGCAGCAGUGGGGAAUUUUGGACAAUGGACGCAAGUCUGAUCCAGCCAUUCCGCGUGCAGGAUGAAGGCCCUCGGGUUGUAAACUGCUUUUGUACGGAACGAAAAGGUUUCCAUUAAUACUGGGAGCUCAUGACGGUACCGUAAGAAUAAGCACCGGCUAACUACGUGCCAGCAGCCGCAGUAA
This 495-nucleotide ribosomal RNA is filed under the name uncultured bacterium. RNAcentral describes it as "partial 16S ribosomal RNA". It matches the Rfam family "Bacterial small subunit ribosomal RNA", at positions 30 to 523 of the family's 1533-position model. The record is from RNAcentral.